AGUUUGAUCCUGGCUCAGAACGAACGCUGGCGGCACGCCUAACACAUGCAAGUCGAGCGCUUUCCUUCGGGAAGGAGCGGCGGACGGGUUAGUAACGCGUGGGAACAUACCCUUUUCUAUGGAAUAGCCUCGGGAAACUGAGAGUAAUACCAUAUACGCCCUUCGGGGGAAAGAUUUAUCGGUGAAGGAUUAGCCCGCGUAAGAUUAGAUAGUUGGUGGGGUAAUGGCCUACCAAGUCUACGAUCUUUAGCUGGUUUGAGAGGAUGAUCAGCAACACUGGGACUGAGACACGGCCCAGACUCCUACGGGAGGCAGCAGUGGGGAAUCUUAGACAAUGGGCGCAAGCCUGAUCUAGCCAUGCCGCGUGAGUGACGAAGGUCUUAGGAUCGUAAAGCUCUUUCGCCAGAGAUGAUAAUGACAGUAUCUGGUAAAGAAACCCCGGCUAACUCCGUGCCAGCAGCCGCGGUAAUACGGAGGGGGUUAGCGUUGUUCGGAAUUACUGGGCGUAAAGCGUACGUAGGCGGAUUGGAAAGUAGGGGGUGAAAUCCCAGGGCUCAACCCUGGAACUGCCUCCUAAACUAUCAGUCUAGAGUUCGAGAGAGGUGAGUGGAAUUCCAAGUGUAGAGGUGAAAUUCGUAGAUAUUUGGAGGAACACCAGUGGCGAAGGCGGCUCACUGGCUCGAUACUGACGCUGAGGUACGAAAGUGUGGGGAGCAAACAGGAUUAGAUACCCUGGUAGUCCACACCGUAAACGAUGAAUGCCAGUCGUCGGGGAGCUUGCUCUUCGGUGACACACCUAACGGAUUAAGCAUUCCGCCUGGGGAGUACGGUCGCAAGAUUAAAACUCAAAGGAAUUGACGGGGGCCCGCACAAGCGGUGGAGCAUGUGGUUUAAUUCGACGCAACGCGCAGAACCUUACCAACCCUUGACAUCCUUGGACCGCUAGAGAGAUCUAGUUUUCUCGUAAGAGACCAAGUGACAGGUGCUGCAUGGCUGUCGUCAGCUCGUG
RNAcentral lists this ribosomal RNA (1009 nucleotides) under uncultured bacterium. RNAcentral's name for it is "bacterial SSU rRNA". It matches the Rfam family "Bacterial small subunit ribosomal RNA", at positions 10 to 1064 of the family's 1533-position model. The record is from RNAcentral.